AAUGUAACUCUUCAUUCAGUUCAGUCACUCAGUUGUGUCUGACUCUUUGUAACCCCAUGGACCACAGCACACCAGGCCUCCCUGUCCAUCACCAACUCCCGAAGACUACUCAAACUUAUCUCCUUUUUGCGUUGGUGAUGCCAUCCAACCAUCUCAUCCUCUGUUGUCCCCUUGUCCUCCUGCCUUCAAUCAUUC
Long non-coding RNA from Cervus elaphus (red deer), 195 nucleotides. RefSeq lists it as uncharacterized. The transcript is spliced from 3 exons. NCBI's taxonomy places the organism in Eukaryota, Metazoa, Chordata, Mammalia, Artiodactyla, Cervidae. The record is from RefSeq and is a predicted model, not a curated record.